CUCAUUUUGUGAAUAGCUGGAAAAGCUCCAGGAUUCUAAUAAAACAUAUAUGCAGUAUUCUUUUUUUAGGACCACAACCUUGAACUCAAACUUUCAUUUUGAUCUCCACUACACAACUGUCAAGUUUUUGAUCCAGCAUCAAACCGAACACAGGACCAUAUUUUGCUAUGAGACACAUUCACUUGUCUCACUGAUGCUCAUAACAGGUUAAAUCCUUCAGAUAAAAUACAAGAACCUGCACAUGGCCACACUUAAGUGUCGUUUAAAGUGGAGGGACAAGCAGGAUGUGGAUCAUCCCCGGCUGGGAAUGGAUGAGUCACUA
Long non-coding RNA from Pseudoliparis swirei, 322 nucleotides. RefSeq lists it as uncharacterized. The transcript is spliced from 3 exons. The record is from RefSeq and is a predicted model, not a curated record. NCBI's taxonomy places the organism in Eukaryota, Metazoa, Chordata, Actinopteri, Perciformes, Liparidae.